RNAcentral lists this ribosomal RNA (253 nucleotides) under uncultured bacterium. RNAcentral's name for it is "partial 16S ribosomal RNA". It matches the Rfam family "Bacterial small subunit ribosomal RNA", at positions 524 to 776 of the family's 1533-position model. The record is from RNAcentral.
UACGGGGGGGGCAAGCGUUGUUCGGAAUUACUGGGCGUAAAGGGCUCGUAGGUGGUCAACUAAGUCAGACGUGAAAUCCCUCAGCUUAACUGGGGAACUGCGUCUGAUACUGGAUGGCUUGAGAUUGGGAGAGGGACGCGGAAUUCCAGGUGUAGCGGUGAAAUGCGUAGAUAUCUGGAGGAACACCGGUGGCGAAGGCGGCACUCUGGGCCGGUACUGACGCUGAGGAGCGAAAGCGUGGGGAGCGAACAGG